ACUCAGAUGAUGUCAUCAAAGGAAUCGUAGUGCUUAUGUUCAACGGCGGAACUGAUACUUCACCUGCGGUAAUGGAAUGGGCAAUGUCGGUUUUGCUGAACCAUCCUGAUAAGCUUGAGAAGCUCAGAGAAGAAAUCAAAUCUAAUGCUAAGCAAAAAGGGAUUAUACAAGACUCCGAUCUCUCGAGCUUACCUUAUCUUCGGUGUGUCAUCUACGAGACGCUCAGGCUAUACCCCGUAGCUCCACUCUUGCUUCCUCACUGCUCAUCAAAGAGAUUCAACUUAGGCAACUACGAG
Molecule: long non-coding RNA, 296 nt
Filed under: Brassica napus (rape)
Lineage: Eukaryota; Viridiplantae; Streptophyta; Magnoliopsida; Brassicales; Brassicaceae
Description: long non-coding RNA (BNAP_LNC026564)
Source: RNAcentral